GAUCAUGGCUCAGAUUGAACGCUGGCGGCAGGCCUAACACAUGCAAGUCGAACGGUAACAGGAAGAAGCUUGCUUCUUUGCUGACGAGUGGCGGACGGGUGAGUAAUGUCUGGGAAACUGCCUGAUGGAGGGGGAUAACUACUGGAAACGGUAGCUAAUACCGCAUAACGUCGCAAGACCAAAGAGGGGGGACCUUCGGGCCUCUUGCCAUCGGAUGUGCCCAGAUGGGAUUAGCUAGUAGGUGGGGUAACGGCUCACCUAGGCGACGAUCCCUAGCUGGUCUGAGAGGAUGACCAGCCACACUGGAACUGAGACACGGUCCAGACUCCUACGGGAGGCAGCAGUGGGGAAUAUUGCACAAUGGGCGCAAGCCUGAUGCAGCCAUGCCCGCGUGUAUGAAGAAGGCCUUCGGGUUGUAAAGUACUUUCAGCGGGGAGGAAGGGAGUAAAGUUAAUACCUUUGCUCAUUGACGUUACCCGCAGAAGAAGCACCGGCUAACUCCGUG
This 505-nucleotide ribosomal RNA is filed under the name uncultured bacterium. RNAcentral describes it as "bacterial SSU rRNA". It matches the Rfam family "Bacterial small subunit ribosomal RNA", at positions 15 to 507 of the family's 1533-position model. The record is from RNAcentral.